CUAGUCCAUGGCACAGGUCAAUCACACUGGAUAGCUCUAGUCCAUGGCACAGGUCAAUCACACUGGAUAGCUCUAGUCCAUGGCACAGGUCAAUCACACUGGAUAGCUCUAGUCCAUGGCACAGGUCAAUCACACUGGAUAGCUCUAGUCCAUGGCACAGGUCAAUCACACUGGAUAGCUCUAGUCCAUGGCACAGGUCAAUCACACUGGAUAGCUCUAGUCCAUGGCACAGGUCAAUCACACUGGAUAGCUCUAGUCCAUGGCACAGGUCAAUCACACUGGAUAGCUCUAGUCCAUGGCACAGGUCAAUCACACUGGAUAGCUCUAGUCCAUGGCACAGGUCAAUCACACUGGAUAGCUCUAGUCCAUGGCACAGGUCAAUCACACUGGAUAGCUCUAGUCCAUGGCACAGGUCAAUCACACUGGAUAGCUCUAGUCCAUGGCACAGGUCAAUCACACUGGAUAGCUCU
Oncorhynchus gorbuscha (pink salmon) is the source of this 470-nucleotide long non-coding RNA. RefSeq lists it as uncharacterized. The record is from RefSeq and is a predicted model, not a curated record. NCBI's taxonomy places the organism in Eukaryota, Metazoa, Chordata, Actinopteri, Salmoniformes, Salmonidae. The transcript has 3 exons.